UCCGGUUGAUCCUGCCAGACCCGACUGCUAUCCGGGUGGGACUAAGCCAUGCAAGUCGAAUGGGAUACCUAUAUUUCCCAUGGCGAACUGCUCAGUAACACGUGAUCAACUUACCCUGUGGAGAAAAAUAACUUCGGGAAACUGAAGAUAAUUCUUCAUAAUUGAGAAUGCUUGGAAAGGUUUCUCAAUAAAAGAACAUUUCAAAUGGGAAAUGUAUCGCCGCAGGAUAGGAUCGCGUCCGAUUAUGGCAGUUGGUGAGGUAAUGGCUCACCAAACCUAUUAUCGGUAAGGGCCGUGAGAGCGGAAGCCCUGAGAUGGGUACUGAGACAAUGACCCAGGUCUUACGAGACGCAGCAGGCGCGAAACCUUCACAAUGCACGAAAGUGAGAUGAGGUUACCCGGAGUGCUACAAAGUAGCUGUGGCAGGUGAGUAAGGUUCCCUGCUAGGAAGGAGAGGGCAAGGCUGGUGCCAGCCGCCGCGGUAAAACCAGCUCUUCAAGUGGUCGGGAUUAUUAUUGGGCUUAAAGUGUUCGUAGCCUGUUUAGUAAGUUCUUGGUUAAAUCGGAUAGCUUAACUAUCUGUCUGCUAAGAAUACUACUAUACUAGGGGGCGGGAGAGGUCUGAGGUACUCCAGGGGUAGCGGUGAAAUGCUAUAAUCCUUGGGGGACCACCAGUGGCGAAGGCGUCAGACUGGAACGCGCCCGACGGUGAGGGACGAAAGCCAGGGGAGCGAACCGGAUUAGAUACCCGGGUAGUCCUGGCCGUAAACGAUGCGUGCUAGGUGUUGGUAUAGCUAUGAGCCGUAUCAGUGCCGUAGGAAAACCGAUAAGCGCGCCGCCUGGGGAGUACGGUCGCAAGGCUGAAACUUAAAGGAAUUGGCGGGCGAGCACCACAAGGGGUGAAGCCUGCGGUUCAGAUUGGAUUCAACGCCGG
RNAcentral lists this ribosomal RNA (933 nucleotides) under uncultured archaeon. Its description in RNAcentral is "bacterial SSU rRNA". It matches the Rfam family "Archaeal small subunit ribosomal RNA", at positions 1 to 921 of the family's 1478-position model. The record is from RNAcentral.